Molecule: ribosomal RNA, 684 nt
Filed under: Vibrio parahaemolyticus
Lineage: Bacteria; Pseudomonadati; Pseudomonadota; Gammaproteobacteria; Vibrionales; Vibrionaceae
Description: bacterial SSU rRNA
Rfam family: Bacterial small subunit ribosomal RNA
Source: RNAcentral
GCCUUUCGGGUUGUAAAGCACUUUCAGUCGUGAGGAAGGUAGUGUAGUUAAUAGCUGCAUUAUUUGACGUUAGCGACAGAAGAAGCACCGGCUAACUCCGUGCCAGCAGCCGCGGUAAUACGGAGGGUGCGAGCGUUAAUCGGAAUUACUGGGCGUAAAGCGCAUGCAGGUGGUUUGUUAAGUCAGAUGUGAAAGCCCGGGGCUCAACCUCGGAAUUGCAUUUGAAACUGGCAGACUAGAGUACUGUAGAGGGGGGUAGAAUUUCAGGUGUAGCGGUGAAAUGCGUAGAGAUCUGAAGGAAUACCGGUGGCGAAGGCGGCCCCCUGGACAGAUACUGACACUCAGAUGCGAAAGCGUGGGGAGCAAACAGGAUUAGAUACCCUGGUAGUCCACGCCGUAAACGAUGUCUACUUGGAGGUUGUGGCCUUGAGCCGUGGCUUUCGGAGCUAACGCGUUAAGUAGACCGCCUGGGGAGUACGGUCGCAAGAUUAAAACUCAAAUGAAUUGACGGGGGCCCGCACAAGCGGUGGAGCAUGUGGUUUAAUUCGAUGCAACGCGAAGAACCUUACCUACUCUUGACAUCCAGAGAACUUUCCAGAGAUGGAUUGGUGCCUUCGGGAACUCUGAGACAGGUGCUGCAUGGCUGUCGUCAGCUCGUGUUGUGAAAUGUUGGGUUAAGUCCCG